This is a long non-coding RNA of Piliocolobus tephrosceles (Ugandan red Colobus), 656 nucleotides long. RefSeq lists it as uncharacterized. NCBI's taxonomy places the organism in Eukaryota, Metazoa, Chordata, Mammalia, Primates, Cercopithecidae. The transcript has 4 exons. The record is from RefSeq and is a predicted model, not a curated record.
UCCCCGCUGUGGAAGGAUGUCUGGGAGGGCAGGUGACCCUGUCGCCUGUUUGCUUCACAUCCGUUCCCCUUCGUGUGGCAGAUCUCCCUGCAGGAGUGGAAAGGGUGGCAGUGCUGCCUUUCAGGGCCAGGGAAAAGCGUAGGAACCCAAACAGCCAAGUAGUGCAAGCAACCUCCAUGUCCAUCAACAAAUGAAUGCAUAAAGAGUCCGGGCCAUCACCACACCACGGAGUACUACUCAGCCAUGAAAAAGAGGAAACCCGGUCAUUAGUGACAGCAUGGAUGAGCCCAGAGGACAUUAUGUUCCAUGAGCAGCAGGGCAGUGUGCAAGGCGCCCACCAGCUGACUGCUGUCCCUGGAGCACGUCCUCACGGAUAAGAGUAGCCGGUGGUCACUUUGGAGAGCAGUGGUCCUGCCGGGGAGAACAGGACCACAGGCAGGAAGUUUCACUGAGGACAGAGCCGGGCAGUGUCUGGAGCCUGAGGGGCGUGGUGGCCGGGCGUCAGCGAGCUCCGGAAACAGGAAGGCCGAUGCCAGCAUGCCACUGAGAAGGUCAUCCAAGUCCAGCUCAAGGUCAUCAAAACCCACGGUUGCUACAGUCAUAGAAGAGAACCCCAAGCAGUGGAUUAGUUCUGCCUCCUUCCGCCAAGCGAGUAA